GCCGGGAUGGCCGAGUGGACCAAGGCGCCAGCCUUGAGAGCUGGUGUCCCCCUUGGGACGCGCGGGUUCGAAUCCCGCUCCCGGCG
Molecule: transfer RNA, 86 nt
Filed under: Candidatus Bathyarchaeota archaeon
Lineage: Archaea; Thermoproteati; Candidatus Bathyarchaeota
Also listed under: 3 other names
Description: tRNA-Ser
Rfam family: tRNA
About the family: Transfer RNA (tRNA) molecules are approximately 80 nucleotides in length. Their secondary structure includes four short double-helical elements and three loops (D, anti-codon, and T loops).
Source: RNAcentral